GUGAAUUUCUUAAUCGUCAGGGGCUCUGAAGAAUUUGUGAAUUGUGGUAACAAAACACUCUGUCCCAUAUUUUAAACAGUAAUAAUGCAGCUUACUGUCAGUGACUGGCAAGAUUUACAAACGCAUCAGAGAGGCAAAACAAGAUCCGCUUUAUUGGGUGAUCUUCAUAUAUACAUAUACUGAGAUGGAAAGUCACAAGGGNCUACUGCUAUUAUUCCUCGUUGUCACUAUGAUAGAAAAGACAAAUGCAAGUCAGUUCCAAGAUUGUUCUGAUUAUUGUCGUACUUCGUAUUUCCAUUGUUUUUUAGUAGAAUGCAGUGGCCCUGGCAAUGAAUUCAAAUGUAAACGGUGCGCAUCUGUAAAAGUNUCAUGCAUUAGAGGGUGCCAAAGGAAUGAAGGACUUUCAAAGAAAACAAAUCAAAUGUAAUAUGAUGAAAUGUAAAGCACAGAAAAUUAUCUAAACUCUAAGAAAUAAAAAAAGAUUUUUGCUCAAU
RNAcentral lists this unclassified non-coding RNA (494 nucleotides) under Exaiptasia diaphana. RNAcentral's name for it is "uncharacterized LOC110239000, transcript variant X1". Lineage: Eukaryota; Metazoa; Cnidaria; Anthozoa; Actiniaria; Aiptasiidae. The record is from RNAcentral.